UUCCCGACCCUUUCUCUCUUUUCUCUCUCGAUGGAUUCGCCGAUUCACCUCAAGUCCGGAAAAAUCGUCGGCGGAUAUUGCUUCUGAUGGCCUAGAGGUCCACCGGCUAGCGAUUAGGGAAUGCCGCUGGUUUUUGUAUAAUGAGCAAGGCAUGGAAAGAUGAACAAGAAACUGAUCUGUAAUCUUCACCAGGUGUUUGCUUUUAUUCCUUACUCACAAUUUAAAUUCGUAGCUUUGGAUGUUAGUCUGAAUUGAAGGUUUGAUGUUAGUCUGAACUGAAGGUUGUUCUGUUCUUCUUGACUAUUUAGUUCUUCUGAAGAGGAUUUUGAAACUUUGUUAUGUGGUUUUCCUAAUCCGUUCUUGUGUUACUGUGCUAUGUUCCAAACUUCUGAGCAUGCCUGAUUUUUCUUCCAAGUAGAAAACGUUCUAUAUGUUUAUUUGCUCUUCAGGAAAGCAUAUGAAUAUGGCAUUAUUAUACAGUGCAGAUCAGUUAGUAUCCAUGAGAUUUCUUGUUUGCUACUGUCGGGGAACUAUAUAUUGCCAUUGCGUUAGUCGACCAGGACUAGCUAAGCAAGUCUUGGUUGGAGGAAAUGAUUGUCGCUGGUCUUCACACUAGCAAUUCCUGCUACACUGGUGAGAAUUCAAAAACUAGCAUGACUUUGAGACUGCAGAAAACUGCAGAAAACUCUUUGAUCCAAACUAGCAGAAUACUGCAGAGAACUGCAGAGAACUCUUUGAUCCAAAAAUAGACCUUCUAAGUGGUGAUGAAUUUGAGACUGCAGAAAACUUGCAUUUGCAGCUCGUUACUUCUCAAGAAAUGAAGAAUUAUCAGCUGAUGGGGUUAGUGAUGGCCAUGGACGCAAACAAGAUUCUUAAAUUCAGACAGCUGUUGAACUCUCUCAUUGAUUAACAAUGAUGAACAUCUUCUUCUUCUUCAUUAAAGAUUCAGUUGUAUCGAUUCCCGCUAGUAUGAUUCGGUUAACAUUGUACUGUGUGUAUUUCCUGCAAAAUUGUGAGGCUCUGUUUUGUGGGAAACAGUGUCUCUGUUUUCUUUUUGGUUGUUUUAUUUUUGGUGUGGAGUAUAGUUUGUCAUUGUGGAUAUAGACCAAUACAAGCUACAAUAAUAUUGAUUUCAAUGA
Camelina sativa (false flax) is the source of this 1139-nucleotide non-coding RNA. NCBI's taxonomy places the organism in Eukaryota, Viridiplantae, Streptophyta, Magnoliopsida, Brassicales, Brassicaceae. The record is from RefSeq and is a predicted model, not a curated record.